RNAcentral lists this ribosomal RNA (364 nucleotides) under uncultured soil bacterium. RNAcentral's name for it is "bacterial SSU rRNA". It matches the Rfam family "Bacterial small subunit ribosomal RNA", at positions 26 to 378 of the family's 1533-position model. The record is from RNAcentral.
AGGACGAACGCUGGCGGCGCGCCUAAUGCAUGCAAGUCGAGCGACGCAUACCGGAGGGGUAACCCAUCGGUAUGACGGAGCGGCGAACGGGUGAGUAACACGUGAGCAACCUGCCCCACAGACCGGGAUAGCCCAGGGAAACUUGGAUUAAUACCGGAUAUUCUCGAGGAACCACAUGGCUCUUUGAGGAAAUGCCUUUGUGCUGUGGGACGGGCUCGCGGCUUAUCAGCUAGUUGGUGGGGUAACGGCCUACCAAGGCAUCGACGAGUAGCUGGUCUGAGAGGACGAUCAGCCACACUGGGACUGAGACACGGCCCAGACUCCUACGGGAGCAGCAGCGAGGGGAAUCUUGCGCGAAUGGGGA